UACACAUGCAGUCGAGCGGNGNANNGGUGAGCUUGCUACCUNACCUAGCGGCGGACGGGUGAGUAAUGCUUAGGAAUCUGCCUAUUAGUGGGGGACAACAUUCCGAAAGGAAUGCUAAUACCGCAUACGCCCUACGGGGGAAAGCAGGGGAUCUUCGGACCUUGCGCUAAUAGAUGAGCCUAAGUCAGAUUAGCUAGUUGGUGGGGUAAAGGCCUACCAAGGCGACGAUCUGUAGCGGGUCUGAGAGGAUGAUCCGCCACACUGGGACUGAGACACGGCCCAGACUCCUACGGGAGGCAGCAGUGGGGAAUAUUGGACAAUGGGCGCAAGCCUGAUCCAGCCAUGCCGCGUGUGUGAAGAAGGCCUUUUGGUUGUAAAGCACUUUAAGCGAGGAGGAGGCUACUUGGAUUAAUACUCUAGGAUAGUGGACGUUACUCGCAGAAUAAGCACCGGCUAACUCUGUGCCAGCAGCCGCGGUAAUACAGAGGGUGCGAGCGUUAAUCGGAUUUACUGGGCGUAAAGCGUGCGUAGGCGGCUUUUUAAGUCGGAUGUGAAAUCCCUGAGCUUAACUUAGGAAUUGCAUUCGAUACUGGGAAGCUAGAGUAUGGGAGAGGAUGGUAGAAUUCCAGGUGUAGCGGUGAAAUGCGUAGAGAUCUGGAGGAAUACCGAUGGCGAAGGCAGCCAUCUGGCCUAAUACUGACGCU
This 704-nucleotide ribosomal RNA is filed under the name bacterium 78_oclvp237. RNAcentral's name for it is "bacterial SSU rRNA". It matches the Rfam family "Bacterial small subunit ribosomal RNA", at positions 50 to 747 of the family's 1533-position model. The record is from RNAcentral. RNAcentral also lists the same sequence under 1 other name.